This 501-nucleotide ribosomal RNA is filed under the name uncultured bacterium. RNAcentral's name for it is "bacterial SSU rRNA". It matches the Rfam family "Bacterial small subunit ribosomal RNA", at positions 28 to 507 of the family's 1533-position model. The record is from RNAcentral.
GACGAACGCUGGCGGCGUGCCUAACACAUGCAAGUCGAGCGGAGUCGAUCGACGGAAGCCUUCGGGCGGAAGAUGGUUGACUUAGCGGCGGAUGGGUGAGUAACGCGUGGGCAACCUGCCUCGAAGACCGGGAUAACAGCCCGAAAGGGCUGCUAAUACCGGAUGUGGUCAAGGAUCCGCAUGGAUUUUUGAUUAAAGGGGAAACCCGUUUCGAGAUGGGCCCGCGUCCUAUCAGCUAGUUGGUGAGGUAAAAGCUCACCAAGGCGACGACGGGUAGCCGGCCUGAGAGGGUGUACGGCCACACUGGAAUUGAGAUACGGUCCAGACUCCUACGGGAGGCAGCAGUGGGGAAUCUUGGGCAAUGGGCGAAAGCCUGACCCAGCGACGCCGCGUGAAGGAAGACGGCCUUAUGGGUUGUAAACUUCUUUACUACGCGAAUAGAGGUUAGUACGAGAUACUAAUAGGAAGGUAGUGUAGUAAAAAGCACCGGCUAACUCCGUG